Molecule: ribosomal RNA, 253 nt
Filed under: uncultured bacterium
Lineage: Bacteria
Description: partial 16S ribosomal RNA
Rfam family: Bacterial small subunit ribosomal RNA
Source: RNAcentral
UACGUAGGGUGCGAGCGUUGUCCGGAAUUAUUGGGCGUAAAGGGCUCGUAGGCGGUCUGUCGCGUCAGGAGUGAAAACUCGGGGCUUAACCCCGAGCCUGCUUCUGAUACGGGCAGACUAGAGGUAUGCAGGGGAGAACGGAAUUCCAGGUGUAGCGGUGAAAUGCGUAGAUAUCUGGAGGAACACCGGUGGCGAAGGCGGGUCUCUGGGCAACAACUGACGCUGAGGAGCGAAAGCGUGGGGAGCGAACAGG